AGCUCUAUGCUAACUUGCGUGAGACAUCUGUGCACAAUCCAUCCAGCUGUGAUUAAAUUCCUGGUUUCAGUGUUUGUGUGUGUGUGUUUCAAUUCAAAAAUUAAAGGCAAAUUCCUGUGGAAAGAGAUACUUGGAAAACGUCUGCAAAUCUAAAAACGCUGGACAUUUUAUAUGAAACAAGCAUAAGAAGACUCCAAAAGGUAGAGACAAGGCAGAAUUGCUGGGGAACUUGAGACCAAAGGAACAACACAUUAGUCAGUCUGAUAUCCACCACCCAGUUCUCCAGGUGGAAGAAUAAUCAAAGAGCCUUGGGGGAAAGAGGGAUUCUCAUGGUUGAAGAUGAUGAAGAUGUGAAGGCUGGAUUUGAUAAUGAAGAGUCUUCUUUGUGUUCUCUCAUUAUUUAUGCCACAUCUGCCUCUCAGCAUUUGUGUCAAUGAGUCACUGUAAUUACAGCCGUUGGAUAAUUUCCUCCGUUUUACAACACAAACCCGACUGUGUGAGUGCUCCAUCAGAGAAAAACAUUUAUUUCCUUGCAGCACCAUCAGGCAGCAAGGUCCAGCUUUC
This 564-nucleotide long non-coding RNA is filed under the name Homo sapiens (human). RNAcentral describes it as "long independently transcribed non-coding RNA 1817 (LINC01817)". The record is from RNAcentral. Lineage: Eukaryota; Metazoa; Chordata; Mammalia; Primates; Hominidae.